CCGAAGGGACGGGGAUAACCACGGGAAACGGUGGCUAAUACCGGAUGAGCCGAAAGGUAAAAGAUUUAUCGCCCUUCGAGGAGCUCGCGUCCGAUUAGCUAGUUGGUGAGGUAAAAGCUCACCAAGGCAGCGAUCGGUAGCUGGUCUGAGAGGAUGAGCAGCCACACUGGGACUGAGACACGGCCCAGACUCCUACGGGAGGCAGCAGUGGGGAAUUUUCCGCAAUGGGCGCAAGCCUGACGGAGCAAUACCGCGUGAGGGAGGAAGGCUCUUGGGUUGUAAACCUCUUUUCUCAGGGAAGAAGUUCUGACGGUACCUGAGGAAUAAGCAUCGGCUAACUCCGUGCCAGCAGCCGCGGUAAUACGGAGGAUGCAAGCGUUAUCCGGAAUUAUUGGGCGUAAAGCGUCCGCAGGUGGCAUUUCCAGACUGCUGUCAAAGACCAAGGCUCAACCUUGGGCAGGCAGUGGAAACUGAAAAGCUAGAGUGCGGUAGGGGUAGGGGGAAUUCCCAGUGUAGCGGUGAAAUGCGUAGAGAUUGGGAA
Molecule: ribosomal RNA, 541 nt
Filed under: Oscillatoria laete-virens CNP4003
Lineage: Bacteria; Bacillati; Cyanobacteriota; Cyanophyceae; Oscillatoriales; Oscillatoriaceae
Description: bacterial SSU rRNA
Rfam family: Bacterial small subunit ribosomal RNA
Source: RNAcentral